Molecule: transfer RNA, 73 nt
Organism: Absidia repens
Lineage: Eukaryota; Fungi; Mucoromycota; Mucoromycetes; Mucorales; Cunninghamellaceae
Rfam family: tRNA
About the family: Transfer RNA (tRNA) molecules are approximately 80 nucleotides in length. Their secondary structure includes four short double-helical elements and three loops (D, anti-codon, and T loops). Further hydrogen bonds mediate the characteristic L-shaped molecular structure. tRNAs have two regions of fundamental functional importance: the anti-codon, which is responsible for specific mRNA codon recognition, and the 3' end, to which the tRNAs corresponding amino acid is attached (by aminoacyl-tRNA synthetases). tRNAs cope with the degeneracy of the genetic code in two manners: having more than one tRNA (with a specific anti-codon) for a particular amino acid; and 'wobble' base-pairing, i.e. permitting non-standard base-pairing at the 3rd anti-codon position.
Source: Rfam
GCCACCUUAGCUCAGUUGGUAGAGCGCGCGCCUUGUAAGCGUGAGGCCAGCGGUUCGACUCCGUUAGGUGGCA